GAUGAAGAACGUAGCGAAAUGCGAUAAGUAGUGUGAAUUGCAGAAUUCAGUGAAUCAUCGAAUCUUUGAACGCACAUUGCGCCUCCUGGUAUUCCGGGGGGCAUGCCUGUUCGAGCGUCAUUUCACCACUCAAGCCUCGCUUGGUAUUGGGCAACGCGGUCCGCCGCGUGCCUCAAAUCGACCGGCUGGGUCUUCUGUCCCCUAAGCGUUGUGGAAACUAUUCGCUAAAGGGUGUUCGGGAGGCUACGCCGUAAAACAACCCCAUUUCUAAGGUUGACCUCGGAUCAGGUAGGGAUACCCGCUGAACUUAAGCAUAUCAAUAGCGGAGGA
RNAcentral lists this unclassified non-coding RNA (330 nucleotides) under soil metagenome. Its description in RNAcentral is "partial contains 5.8S ribosomal RNA, internal transcribed spacer 2, and large subunit ribosomal RNA". The stretch from base 1 to 120 matches the Rfam family "5.8S ribosomal RNA", at positions 35 to 154 of the family's 154-position model. The record is from RNAcentral.